ACCUGAAAGAGCAGAGCCAGGUUUAUCGAUUGAAUUUCCGAGAUUAGCAGGGCUAGGAUGAUAUCUUAAAUAGGUCAUACUAAGUGCAGGGACUAACAAGAACUGCUGCUCUUCUGAGUUAAGUUUUUGAUUAGAAUUUGCUGUGUCAAGAACUAAAGAGCUGAGGCCAGCAGGCUGGAGGGAGUCGGACUGAGAAGAUGGCAGACUCUGAUGACAAGCCUGCUGCCGUAAGGUGUGUGAUAUUCCUUAUUACUUGAGCAUGAACCAUCAGACAGAAGAGGAAAUCUGGAUGCUCAGCCUGAAUGUGGACUAUGAAGAUUAGAAAAAAAAAAAUUAUAUAUAAUAAUAAAUAAUGUAUUUUAGAAAAUUAAA
Long non-coding RNA from Haemorhous mexicanus (house finch), 372 nucleotides. RefSeq lists it as uncharacterized. The transcript is spliced from 2 exons. NCBI's taxonomy places the organism in Eukaryota, Metazoa, Chordata, Aves, Passeriformes, Fringillidae. The record is from RefSeq and is a predicted model, not a curated record.